Molecule: long non-coding RNA, 451 nt
Organism: Magnolia sinica
Lineage: Eukaryota; Viridiplantae; Streptophyta; Magnoliopsida; Magnoliales; Magnoliaceae
Exons: 3
Source: RefSeq, a predicted model, not a curated record
UCUGUUCCCUCUAAAAAGUGUAGUGGACUCCCUAUAAAGGGGCACAAAGCACCUCUGAACAAAUGCAAACUCUUAAAUUUCAUGAAGUUGUUGUUGCCUUGGCGCAAGCUGCUACAAAGGCCAAUGGUGAGCCUGAAAAUGUAUGUCAAGUGUCAAAAGCAGGACUCUCCCAAGAACAGAGAUUUCCUGGGUGCAUUCUGGGACAAGGCAACAUGUAAAAGAUUUCUGCAUUCGAAGUCAAGUGCCUAAGUCAGAAGCAAAUUCCUCCCUUUAACCAAGAUAGACGAUUAUUUAUGCAUCCACUAAUUAGGUUGAAAUGCUGCAUGCAUAAGAUAGGUGGCAUGAGGAUCUGAACGAGUAUACCAGAUGAAAAAGGACCGAAUCACCUGCAACAAGCCUCUUUGCACUUACACACUCCAUCCAGUUGCAAGAAGAUGUUGCUUGGGCUGAC